RNAcentral lists this ribosomal RNA (369 nucleotides) under uncultured bacterium. Its description in RNAcentral is "bacterial SSU rRNA". It matches the Rfam family "Bacterial small subunit ribosomal RNA", at positions 359 to 758 of the family's 1533-position model. The record is from RNAcentral.
UGGGGGGGGCGAGGCCGACAGCACGCCGCGCGAGCGAUGAAGGCCCCAGGGCCGUAAAGCCCCCCCACCCGGGAAGAUAAUGACUGUACCGGGAGAAUAAGCUCCGGCUAACUCCGUGCCAGCAGCCGCGGUAAUACGGAGGGAGCUAGCGUUGUUCGGAAUUACUGGGCGUAAAGCGCACGUAGGCGGCUUUGUAAGUUAGAGGUGAAAGCCUGGAGCUCAACUCCAGAACUGCCUUUAAGACUGCAUCGCUCGAAUCCAGGAGAGGUGAGUGGAAUUCCGAGUGUAGAGGUGAAAUUCGUAGAUAUUCGGAAGAACACCAGUGGCGAAGGCGGCUCACUGGACUGGUAUUGACGCUGAGGUGCGAAA